CACGUGCACGCAUCCCGUCCUCGGCGUCCCGACUGCUGCCUAGCAACCGAGCAGCCACGUCAUCACGAGCCGCGCACGCACGUCACCACACAGCGCCGCUCUGCGCACCGGGAACACGGACGGACGCUCACUGGCGGUUUGGCGGGUUUCUUCGCUUUAUAGGUCACGUGCACGCAUCCCGUCCUCGGCGUCCCGACUGCUGCCUAGCAACCGAGCAGCCACGUCAUCACGAGCCGCGCACGCACGUCACCACACAGCGCCGCUCUGCGCACCGGGAACACGGAUGGACGCUCACUGGCGGUUUGGCGGGUUUCUUCGCUUUAUAGGUGAAUGAAGAUGGCUUUGACAAAAGAGGAGAGCAGCCAGGACACACACUCAGUUUGAAAUAUUUAAAGUGCACCGGCUCCAGGGACCCAUCUAUACCCCACUACUGUGUAUCACCAUCCCAGUAUGUGUAUCACCAUCCCAGCAUGGAUAAAUGAGAAAAUCAAAAAAUUUCCAUCAAUGAUUUUUAAAGUGGUCUGUGUGCAAAUCACCACAACAUUUUAAGAGACAUUGGGGGGUAUUCAAUUGUUUGAAAAACGAGAUU
Molecule: long non-coding RNA, 589 nt
Organism: Pseudophryne corroboree (corroboree frog)
Lineage: Eukaryota; Metazoa; Chordata; Amphibia; Anura; Myobatrachidae
Exons: 3
Source: RefSeq, a predicted model, not a curated record